CCGCCAGAGGGUCCCAAGCCCGGAUAAGAGAGGAGGGUUGGAAUUGUGACAUUAAAAAAAACAAGAAUCGACAGAAGAAAGUUCAUUUGUAGUUCUAAACAUAUUUCGGGUGUUUUUACUCACUUUUGUCUCUCCCACGACGUUAUUCCUCUCUCCUACAGCGUCCAUCACAAUUCCUCUCUCCUACAGCGUCCAUCACAAUUCCGCUCUCCUAUGACGUCCUUUAGCGACUUCUAGCGACUUUUGGGACAGCUAAUAGCUACUUUCCUUACUGCCUAAUCAAGUCUAAACAAAUGCAAGUUGAAGCUGCUAUUUUACCCGUUGCAUUGAAUGUCUAAAAUCACGUAAAACAAAAAGCAUAUAUAGACCUACUACUGUUGGUCUACCAACCCAGCCCAGGCAAGCAUUUGGGAUUUUUUGUCUCCCCAACGUUCUGAGGGACAUUGCCCACAUUUCUGUGGAUAAGGCCUAGGACUAGAGAACUAGUGCGUGCAGUUAGAUAUUUCGAACUGAAAGUUAUCGUUGACUGUCUUUCUAACACUGUAACAACAUACCUUACUAACCUAAUAUGUUUGGGUCAUGGGUGCCAAGGGAUGGUGGUCCAACAGACGUUUUCUUCAUAUUGUCUUUUUUUGGCAAUACAAUUGAGCCCUGCAGGUCAGUGACGUAAGUCUAGUUUAUGAUUUAACGUUUUCCAUAGCGGGCUUUAACCCCCAUCCUCUGGUGUAGGAUAGAUGUGGUUGUCCCUGGAAGCUGAUCUGAGGCCAGUUUGAAGUUAGAACGAGGGGUUUAAAGUUCAAAUGAGAGGUUUGGUCAUCUGAUCCUGCAUCAGCAGAAUCCACCCAGGGCGCCGUUGGAUACCCAUACAAGUAACAUAUCGCAUAUCGCAGGCUGUUGCGUUUUCUCGGAGGGAGUAGCUCUACGCGUAACAGUAUCCAUUCUCCCCCAUCUCAGCAGUGUGAUGGAUAAAGCCUCUCCGACCACAGACAAUCUCUGCCCGUAUCAAUGCCUCUGUGUCCCUACCGACACCAUCUGGGAGAUGCCAUGAGAUGUCAGCUGGGUUAUUUCUCACGCCGUCUCAGUACAGGUGAGAAUGUGGAAACAAGGGACAACGGAAAAGAAGGAUAACAUGAGAGUUCAGUUAUAGCGCGAAUUGAUUACAAGCUGCUGGAGCGAACAGGGCAAAGGAUUUGUGCUGUCGAAGUAAAGCAUCGGGCGACGGUGUAAUACAUUAUUCUAGUUAGUGCACCAUCACACCGAAAGUGUUUUAGUGAAUAUCCCAAUCACAUGUUUGUGAAAUACCAGGAUACGGGCUUAUCUGACAGGGGACUGUAAAGGUGCCGUCCACUCCUGACCUACAGGAUGCCAUCCUCCUGGUGCUGAUUUACACAGAUCGUUCACAGCUUUGUGGAAGUUACCUGUGGCGCUGAUGUUUAGGCCAAGGAGAUCCAACCAGAUGAGGUUUUGAGGCCGCCACCCCCAAGACCUCACAGGAACCCGCCCCGAUCUCUGCCUCCUCCCCCUCUCCACUACCUGUCUCCUGAUGUAUAGAACCCAUUGCUGAACGGUUUGAUGGAGAGUUGUAACCAGUUUAAUGUCAGCAGGAACAGUAGUAAUAAGUGGAGGACUUCUCGCCACAGUCAUCCUGCUCUGCAUUGUAGCAGUGCUGUGCUACUGCAGGCUCCAGUACUACUGCUGUAAGAAAAAUGAGUCGGAGGUGGACUUUGCUUCCAUGGCUGGAGGAGGUGACAGAACGGGAGGAGGAGAAGGGGAUGCUCAAGUGGAGGUUCAGGCUCACUUUGCCUGCAAUGCCUGCAGCGCCCCUGGGAUGGACAGCCUGGCUGUCACCCCUCUCUGCCUGGAGCCCCUGGAGGUGGGCCCUCCCCCCAACUACUGCCCCACCUGCUCCCCCUUCUGGCUACGCCCGGGACUUAGUGACGAGCUGCACAACGGAACCGAGCGGCUGGGAUUCCAUACGUAUCACUAUGACAACCCCGGACUGUGUCAAUCACUGCCCCUGUCAGACACGCCGCAGGAGCCCUUCUUUUUGACCCAGCCCGGCCAAUCCCCUUUGAGCUACUAUAGCCCUGUUGACACCUACCCUAACACACCCUGCAGUAACAGACGCCCCUACAGCACACCGGUUUAACACACAUGGACACACACACACACACACACUGACGUCACACACGCACUCAUACAAACACUCCUUCUCCCAGGGGAAAGAGACCCAGAGACAUCUAGAGUAUCACCCAUCCAGGGGAGAGAGACACACACUGAACCCACAGACGGAGCCUCCUGAUCGGGACAGAACUACAUACGGACCCUUGUCUGGUGCAGCGGUGUGGAGGUCUGGUCAUCUGGUAACCCAUACAGUGGAGGAGAUGUUGGGUUUGACUAUGGGAGACUACAGAUGAUGGGAGAAGAUAGACGAGAGCAGCCACACACUGUUGUUUCUCUCUCUUUCUCUCCAUCUGUCUUUCUCUCCCUCCUUUUCCAUCAUUUUCCAUCAUCUCUCUCCUCUGCCUGAAACCUGAUAAUGUGAACGAGGUGACUGUUAUGAGGGCUAUAUGUGUUUUCAAGUUUGUACGAUUUUUUUUUCUUCCAGAGUUUAAAGGAGCAGUAUGUCCCUGGUUGACCCUUAGAAAAAAAAAACAUUUGCAGUUUUACAUGUGAUUUAAAAAAUAUAUAUAUUGUAAGGGGAUAUCCGGAUGCAUUAAAUAUAAUCCUGGCUAAAACAAUACAAACACACAAACAUUUUAGCCAAUGAGGGCAUCUGUUUGUCCAAUUCUAUGAUGUUUCACUUAGCCCUUACCCUUCAGUCCUUCAAAACAGAGAUUCUGUACACUUACUAAAAUAUGUUCAUCAUGACACUGUUGAUAAUAUAGACUAGUAUUGAUAAAAGAGAUUUGACUGUUUUCACACAAUGCACUUUUCUCACAGGGUGCGUCCCAAAUUGCAUUGUAUUCCCUAUAUAGAUAGUACACUACUUUUGACCAGGACCCAUAUGGGUCUGGUCAAAAGUAGUGCACUAUCUAGGGAACAGGAUGCCAUUUUCGACAAAGCCAUAGUCUUCACAUCUUAGUCUUCCUCACUUCUCGUCCUUUUGUGAUUCUUUGUUAGAGAGUUGAUGGGGAAAUGGAUAUCUGUCUGUUCAUGUGUUGAUUUACUGACAAUAACACUCAAAGUUUGUGUUCACUGCUAUGUAGUCACACACUCACACAAAGACACUGCUUGCUGCCUGUAGUCUGCCAAUGAAGGUAACUCUAAUAUUGAAUUCACUAAUUAUAUAAUAUAUUUAUUUUUUCUAUUAAAGGUGGACUCUGAAAAAUGACAUCAUCAUAGACAGCAGGGCAACUUCCUGCCUACAGACAAUUUGCACUGUUCAUUGACACAUGCCCAUAUUGGGAAGAGCCAGUGACAGAUUUGAAUUUUGUUGUUGAUGAUGUCUCUAAACAGGAAGUUGACCCGCGGUGUACGAUGAUGUCAUGUAGCUGAGUCUCCCUUUAAAAUGAACUCUCUGAAGAUGAAUUCCAUGUUUAACA
Oncorhynchus kisutch (coho salmon) is the source of this 3545-nucleotide RNA transcript. It is a transcript of the gene named protein FAM163A-like, with no coding region annotated. The record is from RefSeq and is a predicted model, not a curated record. The transcript has 8 exons. NCBI's taxonomy places the organism in Eukaryota, Metazoa, Chordata, Actinopteri, Salmoniformes, Salmonidae.